This 492-nucleotide ribosomal RNA is filed under the name uncultured bacterium. RNAcentral describes it as "partial 16S ribosomal RNA". It matches the Rfam family "Bacterial small subunit ribosomal RNA", at positions 29 to 507 of the family's 1533-position model. The record is from RNAcentral.
AGUGAACGCUGGCGGUAGGCCUAACACAUGCAAGUCGAACGGCAGCACAGUAAGAGCUUGCUCUUACGGGUGGCGAGUGGCGGACGGGUGAGGAAUACAUCGGAAUCUACUUUUUCGUGGGGGAUAACGUAGGGAAACUUACGCUAAUACCGCAUACGACCUACGGGUGAAAGCAGGGGAUCUUCGGACCUUGCGCGAUUGAAUGAGCCGAUGUCGGAUUAGCUAGUUGGCGGGGUAAAGGCCCACCAAGGCGACGAUCCGUAGCUGGUCUGAGAGGAUGAUCAGCCACACUGGAACUGAGACACGGUCCAGACUCCUACGGGAGGCAGCAGUGGGGAAUAUUGGACAAUGGGCGCAAGCCUGAUCCAGCCAUACCGCGUGGGUGAAGAAGGCAUUCGGGUUGUAAAGCCCUUUUGUUGGGAAAGAAAAGCAGCAGGUUAAUACCCCGCUGUCCUGACGGUACCCAAAGAAUAAGCACCGGCUAACUUCGUG